Molecule: ribosomal RNA, 508 nt
Filed under: uncultured bacterium
Lineage: Bacteria
Description: partial 16S ribosomal RNA
Rfam family: Bacterial small subunit ribosomal RNA
Source: RNAcentral
GAUGAACGCUGGCGGCGUGCCUAAUACAUGCAAGUCGAGGGGAAACGACAUCGAAAGCUUGCUUUUGAUGGGCGUCGACCGGCGCACGGGUGAGUAACGCGUAUCCAACCUGCCCACCACUUUGGGAUAACUUUGCGAAAGUAAGACUAAUACCCAAUGACGUCUCUAGAAGACAUCUGAAAGAGAUUAAAGAUUUAUCGGUGAUGGAUGGGGAGGCGUCUGAUUAGCUUGUUGGCGGGGUAACGGCCCACCAAGGCGACGAUCAGAAGGGGUUCUGAGAGGAAGGGCCACCACAGUGGAACUGAGACACGGUCCAAACUCCUACGGGAGGCAGCAGUGAGGAAUAUUGGUCAAUGGACGAGAGUCUGAACCAGCCAAGUAGCGUGCAGGAUGACGGCCCUAUGGGUUGUAAACUGCUUUUAUAAGGGAAUAAAGUGAGAGUCGUGACUCUUUUUGCAUGUACCUUAUGAAUAAGGACCGGCUAAUUCCGUGCCAGCAGCCGCCGCAG